RNAcentral lists this long non-coding RNA (2622 nucleotides) under Lynx pardinus (Iberian lynx). The record is from RNAcentral. Lineage: Eukaryota; Metazoa; Chordata; Mammalia; Carnivora; Felidae.
CACAGAACAGAAUUACGAGGCAGGGGGUGUCUGGGCUCUCUGAUUUGGGCCAUUGAUCUUAGGAGCAAGACCAUUCAUUCGCUGAGGAUUCCCUGUUUCUAUCAGCAAUCAUGUAACCAUGCUGUGUUUGGACCAUGUGUGGACAAGGAUGCCUGUAACAUAUAUGGAUUUGUCUAGGCAGCGGGACUCUGACUUCAGAUAGGAGUGUGUGCCGUGGGCUAGGCUGCCGGCAGGUAAGGCCUGGGAUUGGCUCCUCCAUAUAAAAUCUAAAAAAAAAAAAAAAAAAAAUUAUAAGGCCUCUAAUGAUUAUUAUGAAAAUUAAGUAAGUCAAUGUUUGCAAAAGUGCCUUGUAAAUCGCAGCACAAAUACCGAAGAAAGUCAUGGUGUGUAGAAUUUGGUCUGAAAAUACUAGCUGACGCUUGACUGUGUCCCCAGCUCUUCGCUGGAAGCUGCAGAGAAACCAAAUGGGGUUAAGCCUUGUUCGCCCAUCGUGGGGCUGGUGGGCUUUCUCAGCGUGAAAGCCUUUCCCUGCCCCUUCCUUCGAACACGCUUCGAUUAAGCACCUAUUAAUAGGCCAGGUUCUGGGCUAGAAGCUGAAUAGUGUGGUGAUCACCGUCUCCUAGGGGACAGACGCUGAGCAAACGGGUAGGUUGCAAAGCCCCGCUGGGGAGCCAGGGAUUGUCACAGAGAAACGGAUGGGUUCAAAGGGCACAAGGCAAGGCUCUCUGAGCCUCCGUUGCAUCAUCUCUCAGAUCCGGACGGGUGGCCUGAACGUUCUCUUGGAAAUCGGUAGCUUGGUUGGAGAGAGUAACCACGAGGUGGGGUGGGCGAGUGGACAGAGGCCAAUUUACGGCGGACCUAGCACUGGGGAAGAGGGAAGCAGUGGUGAUCUUGGCCCUUGGAGAGUCCAUAGUGCGGUGGAAAGACAAGAAAGCAGCCAGUGACAGCGUAGUCUGGUCUGAGUUUUGACAGGCUAAGUGAGGCCAAGAGGUACGGGAGCCCAGAGGAGGAACCCUUUUCCCCAGCCUGGGAAGUUGGAGUGGAAGUUAGCAAAGCAGAGACGCAAGCUAAGGGAGUUCUAGGCAGAGGGAACCGAAUGAGCAAAGGCAUGGAGUUCUAUCCAGCGAAGACACAGAAUCUGAAAUGGGGCGCGAUAAGGCUGCAGGAGGUACACAGUGAACUUGAACGCCGUGGUGGCGAACUUGAACUUUACCCUGUAUGUAGCGGGGAGCUACUUUAGACGCAGAAGCAUGAGAUUAAGGAUUAAUUAGGCUUUGCCACCAGGAUGGCAACUGCGAGUGGGUCCAGGGGAGGCAGGCUGCAGAAGUCCUAGAGGCCAACGUGAAAGGCACUUGUCUGGGGUUGAGCCCAUCGUAUAGCAAGUCUAGAGUGCCAUUGAACUUCCACGGACUCAGCGGCAACCUUCCCCACACAGUGCCCCUGGUCCGGGGAGGAUGGGGCCCCGAGCUGAGAACUCUCUUGCAGGGCCCAGGCCUUCAGAACAGCCCUCCGGGGGGAUGGCCCCCUCCAGCCUCGAUGGGCUAGUUCAGGCUGCUUUAGCUGGGGCCCAUUUGGCUGCAAGGGACAUUUUGCUCAAGCCAAAUGAUGACCUUGUGGAAGGGAGAUGGCGAAGUUUCACAAAACCCAGGGGUGAAAGCUUCAGCCCCGCUUCUGAGGAACUAAGAGUCCAAAACUGCAGAGUCCUGCCUAAGGCUCUUUUCCCACACUCACGGCUCUCCUUCCUCCUUCUUCCCUCCAUCAGAGGGCCAGCUCUCUCUGGUAGAGGAGAGCCCCACUGGCCGGCUUCUCCUCCUCACCGCCAAAUGCCCCGUAGUGGCGGAGGAGAGGACCUCCCUCCGGUCGCUGGGAUCCGGGCAGUCUGAGGGGCUGUGCCUCGGGUCAGGGGGCCUGGGGCCAAGAAAGGGGGUGUGUCCCAGACAGCAGGGCUCCGGAGCCUACUCCUCUGGGUCUGUUGGGGGGUGGGCUUGUGGGUGGGAGGGGUGCCGGCGCUGGAUUGGCCCCCAAGGGCUAUCCGUUCUAUUAGACCCGGUGAGCCUGCCCUCCAGGUGCACAAGCAGUCAGAAUCCACAGAGACCUCCACUCACCUUUUCAGGAAGGGAGACAGACCAGAAAAAUCCCCAUGUUUGCUACUGUGGACAGUGAAAGCAGGUAAGUAAAGGGUCCGAGAAGAGCUUGCCCUGGGGGUGGUGGGCAGGGGUGCGGGAGGGCUGGGCCCUUUUGCUACGGGCUUGGGGAGCCGGUUCAGAGCCCGGCGACCUGGUAGGAGGUGGCCGAUCUUGGAGGAAGAGGCUGAGGCCCCUAGGGCUGGAGGCUAACGGGGGCAGAGCCAGCAUCUUGGGGCUGAGGAGGGGCCCAAGACUUCUGGGGUGGGCAUGCGAGGUUCCUUUGUUUCAGAUGCCCCGUGGACUUCACACGGCACCAGCUGGAGGAACCAGAGACCAUUGGGUGGUUUUCCCCAAAUGUGGAGGAAUCUCUCCCCUCCCCCACCUCUGGUGUUGCUAGACGCUGGGCUUCCUGGGGGUUCUCAUAAACUCAGGAGGCUCUGUAAUCGUUUCCAUAUAGAAUGGUUUCCCUGCAUAGCGAAGGAGGCCAGCUGUAGCU